Gambusia affinis (western mosquitofish) is the source of this 1032-nucleotide long non-coding RNA. RefSeq lists it as uncharacterized. The transcript is spliced from 4 exons. The record is from RefSeq and is a predicted model, not a curated record. Lineage: Eukaryota; Metazoa; Chordata; Actinopteri; Cyprinodontiformes; Poeciliidae.
CUUGGCAACAAGAAUUUAGGCAGGAGAAAGCAAACGAUUGAAAAGGCCCAUACUUUAUACUCUUUGUACCUUGGAAAGCUGUUGUCUUUGGUUGAAGAUGGAUUACUUCAACUACUUUGAGAAUUUUAAUGACAAUUACCUUGACUAUGACUACAAUGCUGUUUUUACGGAGGUUACUCCUCUCUUCCAGCCAGCUGUCAUUUUAGCUGCCUCAUAUUUGAUUGCAUGGAUUGUAGUAUGGAUAGGCUUCCCACUCACCAUGCUAGCAAUUUGUGCAUUUCACUCACAGAUUAAAGAAGAAAAAGUUGCACCAGUCUUUGUUGUCAAUCUCCUACUCUCUGAGCUCAUCCAAAUAUGCUGCUUGUUGGUCUGGAUUCUAAAACCUGACAGUUAUGAGGCAAUCAGUAUUUCUAGACUGAUCUACUAUGUUGGUGUGAAGGCCAGUGUUGGCUUCAUGAUGAGUGUUGCCCUAGAAAGGACUCUGGUCAUUGCCUGGCCAUUGUGGUAUCGCUUCAAACGAAGCAUAAAAGUCUCUGUGGGGAUCUGUGCUGCAGUUUGGGUCAUAAGUCUUAUUGAGUCUCCUAUUGCAUCGUUUCUGUCUUAAGUUUACAAGCUGGUUUUAAGAUCCACCUUCUUCUUUCUCUCCAUUCCACUUCUCAUCAUUUGUCUAGUUGGGACAUUUAAAGAUUUAUCUGCUGCUAAGUCUGUCCCUCCAAGAAAAAGACUCAGGUUAGUUGUGAUUUUGGUGCUGGUGUUGAUGACUUGCACAGUGUUGCUCAUGUCCUUGGUCAUCCAGCUCCUACAAAGUAGAUUCGGAUCUUCAGAAAAUGUUGCUGAAAAAUAUCAUAAUGUCUCACCUGUAUCAUUCAUUCAGUUCAUUCAACAUAGAGAACUGGUGGUUGAAAACCCGAUUGCUUGUAAGAGUUGAUUCAACAUUUUGACAAAGGAAAAUGGUGAACACAUGUGCUACAACUGAAAAUGCAUGAAAUGAUUUUUCCUGUAACUGACUGAUUAAAAAGUUGGGUUUUACAG